UAUAUCUUCAUUUCAUGUUAAGGCUCUUCUUAAAAAUAAUUUUUCUUUGUUAUAUGUUAAGGUUAAUUGUGUAUGUUCUAUAUUAUAUGGUUUUACUUGUUCUAACCAUUUUAUUCCUAAUAUUAUAUCUGCUUUUUGCAUUUCUUCCUUUACUUCGAAUUCUAUUUUUAUUUUUCUAACUCCUAUUAUUAUUUCUUUUUCUGCUAUAUUUUUA
This 214-nucleotide long non-coding RNA is filed under the name Capsicum annuum. RNAcentral's name for it is "long non-coding RNA (CANN_LNC019498)". The record is from RNAcentral. Lineage: Eukaryota; Viridiplantae; Streptophyta; Magnoliopsida; Solanales; Solanaceae.